UGAGUAACCUGCCCUUCACUCUGGGAUAACUCCGGGAAACCGGGGCUAAUACUGGAUAUGACUCGAACAGGCAUCUGUUUCGGGUGGAAAGAUUUAUUGGUGGAGGAUGGACUCGCGGCCUAUCAGCUUGUUGGUGAGGUAAUGGCUCACCAAGGCGACGACGGGUAGCCGGCCUGAGAGGGUGACCGGCCACACUGGGACUGAGACACGGCCCAGACUCCGUACGGGAGCA
This 232-nucleotide ribosomal RNA is filed under the name uncultured bacterium. RNAcentral's name for it is "partial 16S ribosomal RNA". It matches the Rfam family "Bacterial small subunit ribosomal RNA", at positions 118 to 347 of the family's 1533-position model. The record is from RNAcentral.